Molecule: long non-coding RNA, 237 nt
Organism: Frieseomelitta varia
Lineage: Eukaryota; Metazoa; Arthropoda; Insecta; Hymenoptera; Apidae
Exons: 3
Source: RefSeq, a predicted model, not a curated record
UUUCAUUCUACAUAUUAUUGUAAUUAAUAUAUCAUUAUCUUUUAUCAUUACGAUUAAGAUUUUUUAUUUAUCAAAUAUUUAAUUAUCCAAUUAAUUUUUUAAAACAUUUAGUUCCAUUAAAUUCCCCUAAAUUUCUUAUACAUUUUAUAGUAAUUAUUGAAUUAAUUCGAUUAAUUAUUCGACCUUGAACUUUAUCAAUUCGAUUAUCAUCAAAUUUAAUUUCUGGACAUUUAAUUU